AAAAGAAACUAACAAGGAUUCCCCUAGUAACUGCGAGUGAAGCGGGAAAAGCUCAAAUUUAAAAUCUGGCGGUCUUUGGCCGUCCGAGUUGUAGUCUGGAGAAGCGUCUUCCGCGUUGGACCGUGUACAAGUUUCCUGGAACGGAGCGUCAUAGAGGGUGAGAAUCCCGUCUUUGACACGGACCCCAAUGCUUUGUGAUGCGCUCUCAAAGAGUCGAGUUGUUUGGGAAUGCAGCUCAAAAUGGGUGGUGAAUUCCAUCUAAAGCUAAAUAUUGGCGAGAGACCGAUAGCGAACAAGUACCGUGAGGGAAAGAUGAAAAGCACUUUGGAAAGAGAGUUAAACAGUACGUGAAAUUGUUGAAAGGGAAACGCUUGAAGUCAGUCGCGUCGGCCGGGACUCAGCCUUGCAUUCUUGCUCGGUGUACUUUCCGGUCGACGGGCCAGCAUCAAUUUUGACCGCGGGAUAAAGGCGGGGGAAAUGUGGCUCUUCGGAGUGUUAUAGUCCUUCGUCGCAUGUCGCGGUCGGGAUUGAGGAACUCAGCACGCCUUUAUGGCCGGGGUUCGCCCACGUACGUGCUUAGGAUGCUGGC
Molecule: ribosomal RNA, 589 nt
Filed under: Aleurodiscus alpinus
Lineage: Eukaryota; Fungi; Basidiomycota; Agaricomycetes; Russulales; Stereaceae
Description: LSU rRNA
Rfam family: Eukaryotic large subunit ribosomal RNA
Source: RNAcentral